This 792-nucleotide ribosomal RNA is filed under the name uncultured Lactobacillus sp. RNAcentral's name for it is "bacterial SSU rRNA". It matches the Rfam family "Bacterial small subunit ribosomal RNA", at positions 28 to 776 of the family's 1533-position model. The record is from RNAcentral. Lineage: Bacteria; Bacillati; Bacillota; Bacilli; Lactobacillales; Lactobacillaceae.
GAUGAACGCCGGCGGUGUGCCUAAUACAUGCAAGUCGAGCGCACUGGCCCAACAGAAAUGACGUGCUUGCACUGAUUUGACGUUGGAUUCCCAGUGAGCGGCGGACGGGUGAGUAACACGUGGGCAACCUGCCCCAAAGCGGGGGAUAACAUUUGGAAACAGGUGCUAAUACCGCAUAACUUGGAAAACCACAUGGUUUUCCAAUAAAAGAUGGUUUCGGCUAUCACUUUGGGAUGGGCCCGCGGUGCAUUAGCUAGUUGGCAAGGUAACGGCUUACCAAGGCGAUGAUGCAUAGCCGAGUUGAGAGACUGAUCGGCCACAAUGGAACUGAGACACGGUCCAUACUCCUACGGGAGGCAGCAGUAGGGAAUCUUCCACAAUGGGCGCAAGCCUGAUGGAGCAACACCGCGUGAGUGAAGAAGGGUUUCGGCUCGUAAAACUCUGUUGUUGGAGAAGAACGUGCGUAAGAGUAACUGUUUACGCAGUGACGGUAUCCAACCAGAAAGUCACGGCUAACUACGUGCCAGCAGCCGCGGUAAUACGUAGGUGGCAAGCGUUAUCCGGAUUUAUUGGGCGUAAAGCGAGCGCAGGCGGUUGCUUAGGUCUGAUGUGAAAGCCUUCGGCUUAACCGAAGAAGUGCAUCGGAAACCGGGCGACUUGAGUGCAGAAGAGGACAGUGGAACUCCAUGUGUAGCGGUGGAAUGCGUAGAUAUAUGGAAGAACACCAGUGGCGAAGGCGGCUGUCUGGUCUGCAACUGACGCUGAGGCUCGAAAGCAUGGGUAGCGAACAGG